GUCCCGCCCCGCCCCCAUCCGCCCAGGCCGGGCUCGGCCCCCGCCGGCGAGAGUCGCCGCGCGCCGACUCUCCUCCUCUGCCCGGCGCGUCCGGCAGGGACCCCGCCCCUCCCCAUCCCCGCCGAGGUCGUCCAGUGGGCCACUUUCGCAGUUUUCGUCCCUUUCGCCUUAAAACUCACCGCGGCCCCUCGGCGCUCUCUCUCUCCACGCCUCGUCCCGCUCACUUCAGAACUCGCCGUCUGCCCCAGCCUCGUGCCCUGUUGCUGCCUGAUUCUCUCAUCCUCCCUCCGGGCGUUCCCAAACGUAGCUCGGGGUCUCUUAAGAUAAUCCGAAGAGACUGGAAAUACCUUCCUGAAAGGCUGGGGUUGAUGAGGUGUGGGGAAGCUUGGUCCCCAAAGAAAGUAAAAGCCCAGUGUUCCUCACCUGUGGAGUUGGGAAAUGUGGGGCUGCGGAAUGGGCCCUCUCAGCUCCCCUCCUGGUGGCCUGCGCCUGGAGUUCGGUCUUCUGCUUUCUACAUCAAACUCGAAAAGAUGGUAUUGAAUGGCGUUGGACAUCACGGCUGGAUCCAGCAAGGUGCUGGCAGUACCCCUGGAACAGUGGGGCUGCCCGGAGCCCUGGGAGGAGUGGUUCUUUCCACACCAGUCACUGGCUGUGCAUGAACGUGUCUGACUAAACGCUUCAUCUGCUGGGCAGUGAAACUCCUUUUCCACGUCUAGGUCUUGCCCAGAGACACAUGGGAGUACAUAUUACUGGACUCUUUCUCAGAGUUGGAGUUUAGUUAAGAUGCAAAAUCAGUCAAACCAAACAGCCCCUGUGGUUAAAAAGUACCUUUUUCCCAGAACGUGUUACGUCUUCUAGGACAGUGUAACCUAAUAGAACGAUUCCUAUAAUGGAAAUAGUUUAAUAAGGAAGCCACUAGCCACGUAUAAUUAUUGAGUGCCUGAAAUCUGGCAAGUGUGAUUGAAGAGAUGGAUUUUCAGUUUCAAUUUAUUCUUACUUAAAUAGCCGCGUGGCUAAGUGCUACGAUGCCGAGCAGCACAUUUCCACAGGAUUUGUACUAUACAGGAUCAGUAGUGAAGAGCAAAUAGUUCACUUACACACCAGCACUCUCUGCACUGCAGUAACCAGCUGGGUUUCAUUCUAAUAUGUGCAUUCACGACACUGAUCCAUAAAAUGGUUAACUCCCACUGGGCACAGAUACUCCACUCUGGAACUGUUUAGAAUAUUUGAGGAGAAAGUUAAUUUCAUUGGUUAAUUUAUAUGUGAAAUACUUAAACAUUAGACAAAGGUGGUGGCUGUGGACAUGGAGAUGUCAACAAAGUGUUUACCUCCUACCACUGUGAAGCUUAUAUUGUAGCACCGGAAACUUUGCAGAAGACAACAUCAUAAGUGGAUUACAAUGCUGAUAAAUAAUAGAAGGGAAAACCUGAGUAGUCUGAGAGAACUUACAAGAGCUUGUAGUUUAGUCUGAGAAUCUAGGAGGACAUGAACUAAAAGGUAUAGAAGUGAUAUUCACUGCUAGUUAAGUGACCUUGGAAAAGUUCUUUAAAUUCCAUGAGCUUUAGAUUUCUUAUCUGUAAAUACAUUUCUGCACGGGUGUAUUAAGAUAUUAAAUGUAAGUGCUUAGCUCAGAGUCUAGUUUAUUGCACACUCUGGGAAUGUUAGUUCUCAAAUACUUUUCUUUAUGAUAAAAAACAUUUGCUAUCAUCUUGUUUUUAUAUAUUAUUCUUUGACUUAUUUAACAAAUAUUUGUUUAGUCUCUACUAUCAACCGGGUACUGUUAUCAAGAAAUACAAAUAAACAAUGCAGACCACAACUUCAGGGGGCUUAUACUCUACUAAGGGUAGAGUACACACACAUACAUUUGAAUGAGUGUGGAAUGUUACUUGUGCAAAUAAAGAAAUAAAUAAUACACAAUCUGUUUUAUGGUAAGUGUUUUCAAAAACUAGAGAGGGAUAGUUUAAGUAUACAUGUGCUGAAAGAGACAGUUCAAAAUUGAUUGGUCGGAGAACAUCUUUUUGAUAAUUUUGGCGGAGAUUAGAAACAAGUGAGGAAAUAAAGGUUGAGGUUAUCUGAAGGAAGAGUUCCCAGAAGUGGGAGGACCUAGCACGGUGUUUGAGACAGAUGCAUCAUGUUGAGAGAUAGCAGAUGCCACUGGAGUUUGGAAAGGGGAAGGAACUGGUGAGCUGCUAACAAGUUAGGCCAGUGCUGUGCAAUAGAACCAUCUAGAAUUAUAAAUUAUAAUUUACAAUUUUAGUAGCCAUAGUUAAUAACAAGUGAAAGUAAUUUUAAUACUUUUUACUCAUAUUAGUAUAUCCGAAAUGUAAUUCUAACACAAUAUCAAUAUAAAAUUUUUGGUAAUUGUUCUUUGCAUUGGCAUUAAUUUUUUAAAGCUAUUGUGAAUUAAAAUACUCUUAGAGCAAGUCCUAGUUCAUGUUACAUUGUAGAUGUCCAAUAGAAAGCAUGGCUAAUGGCUACCACAUAAGAUAGUGUGUAUUUAGAACCUGGAAGACAGUUUUAAAGACUUUGACUUUUAUUUUGGGUGAUAAUAAAUGUGUCAUGCAGAAUGGGGAUGUAGAUUUUCCUUAUACUUUAUAAUAUAGGACCAAUCUAGUUGUAUUUUCUUGGAGCACUGUGAGGCCUGUGGGGGAGAAGAAACCUGAGCAGACAAGGGUAGAAUCAGGGAAAGCACUUAAACAUAAUUGAAGUGACCCCUUUCCCUUGAAAUAGAAGAAAAACAAGAAUUUUCUUCUCCCCACCCAGUGUCUGCACCUCCUGCUCAUUUGCACUAGUAGAAGCUUUGGAAAAUUUAGUAAGAAUUUAAUUUCGGGGGCUGGGGAUAUAGCUCAGUAGCACAAGUGCCUGUCUGGCAAGUGCAAGGUCCUGAGUUCAAUCCCAGGUACCAAAAAAAAAAAAAAAAAAAGAAUUUAAUUUAAUGUUUAUUAAGAUUCCUAUAGUUAUUUUCCAUUUUCCACAGACAAUGAAGGUGUUUCUCAUACUGUAAAGAGAUAUGACAAUUUCCUGGAAAAUCUUUAUCAAGGACUAUAUUUUUUUUAUUAAAAAUAAUAAAGUAAUACGUUCUAGGGAGAAUUUUAGGAAAUAAAUUUAUUUGGAUAAGAGGUAUGUUGAAGGACAAAUUUAUACGGAAGCUCUUUAUCAUCGAAAAUGAAGAAAACUGGUUGUAUGCCAAAAUAUAGUAAGACAUAUAUGAUAUUAAAAGAGAAUAUAAAUGUAGGUACUUAUAAUUUAUCUAGCUAAAAGUAGCCAGUAUAAUUGUGGUUCUAAUAAAGAUGGUUUCAAUAAGUAAACUUGUGAGCCACUUCAUAAGACUUCUAUGAAGGAAUUUGAUGACAUAGUUUGAGAAAAUCAAUAACAACAAAAACUUCCUAAUAUUAUAAUAGUUUAUAGUGAAAAAAUUACAAAACUGGCUGUUUGUCCUCCUCGACUCUUUUAGUAAAUUUAAGCAUGGGCAUAUUUGACAAUUGUGACAUAUGAAUCAUUUCCUACCUCCAGAGGCUUGAAGCUAUUAAAAUACAGUAUCAGAUAUCACCUGGAUUCAUGCUGUGGGUAGAGAUGAUGCCAGAGUUGGGGUGUGCUCCUGGCUUUAGAAUAAAAUUAAUGUCAACCAUCCUGAGAGCAGCUCAGAUGCUGUUGGCAGAGAGUGAUUAGACACUGCUCUACUAUUUCCACUAAUUGGAAAGACUUAGUAAUAACUUUCAAAUCACAGGGAAAAAAGGGUCUGAUGAGUUUGAAGAGGGGGAUAUCAUAAUUUGACCACUUAUGAAAGUUAAUGCAAAUAUUUAUAUAAGCAGUUCAGCUUAUGCUACUUUUAGAGGUUAUAAUCAAGUUUUGGGUGGUCCUGACACUUCAGUAUUUUGCUUAUCUGUUUUCAGUGUUAUCAUUUUUUCUUGACAGAUAAAGGCUGAAUUGGUUUCAUUUGUGUGAAGCAACUGUGGCAUCUAGUGGUUAAUAAUCAUAAUGGUAAUUCAGUUUAUUUCCAGGGGAUAAGUUAUAAGUAUUUUUAUAUUACCAAAGAAUUUCACAGUAACUAUCAUUUUGCUAUAUUUUUAUUUCAUCAGAAAUGACCAUGUGAGAUGAACAAAGGUAAUCUACUCAAAGAGGAAAAGGUAAUUUUUCAAAGCAGAUUAUAAACAUUUAAGUUUUAGAGCCCAAUAUUGAUUUAUAUUUAUAUAUUAACCACAAGAAUGCUGUAGUUAAAUUUCUACACUGAUUGGACAUUUGAUGCUACAAAAUUAUUAGUUCUGUUAUUACACACGAUAAUGCUAUCAAAACUAUGAUUUGGGGGAGUCCUUAUUUUCAGAAGUACAUACUAAAGUGUUUACUGAUGAAUUGUUAUGAUGUCUAGGAUUCAAAUAAUAUGAUGGGUAGAUAUUAAUGUGUGUGAAGACUGACUGAAUAUUAUUGAUCAAUAUUAAGGUGGGUGAUAAAUUUGGAAUCUCCCAUCCUAAAAAGUUUAAAGGGCUGAGGUCUAGCUCAGUGUUAGAGCAGUUACCCAGCAUGUGCAAGACUCUGCGUUCAGCCCCCCAGUAGUAGCAUAAAUAGAUAAAUAAAUAAAUAAGUAGAUGAUAUCUUCUUUAUUUAAGAUUAGUAGGCAUUCAACAUUUAUUUUCUGUAUAUUUAUUUUGAGCAAGAGAAGGUCCACUUGUCUAAAUGAUCAAUGAGAAAAAGAUGUCACUUAGGAAAGGGAAAACAGGACUAUAGCAAAAUUAAAACUCACCUCUCUUAUACCCAUUUGGCCCCCAAUAACAGUCCUGAAGCAUAAGCAAAAUACUCAUUAAAGCUUUUGCAGACAAGAGACCCAAUUUCUGAUGUAAGAAUUUUUUUCAAGUAGUAAUAGUCUAUGAUUAGGCAGUGAGCUGGAAAAUCAUCAGUGUUCGUAACCACCAAAGUGAAUUUAUUCUAGAAAAUAUUUUCUCUUAAUUUCUUUUUGCUACACUCUGAAAAUAUGAAUAAACUCCAACAUUUUCCAUCUUAGAAAAUGUAAUAUGUACAUGUCACAUUCCUUUUGUUUAUUUAAUUUUUAACCUCUGUCAGUUGCUUUUCUUUUACAUCCUAUGGAUCAGUUCCACUCAGUGGAAAUAUAUUACCCACAUAUGUAAUUUAAAUUUUUUUACUGGGCCCAGUCAAAAAAGUAAAACCAAAUGAAAUUAACCUUAAAAAUAGAGUUUAUUUUUACUCAGUAUGUCUGGUUCUGAAAACAUACUUUUUAAAUAAAAAACAAC
This is a long non-coding RNA of Chinchilla lanigera (long-tailed chinchilla), 5243 nucleotides long. Lineage: Eukaryota; Metazoa; Chordata; Mammalia; Rodentia; Chinchillidae. The record is from Ensembl.